This 1511-nucleotide ribosomal RNA is filed under the name Chloroflexota bacterium. RNAcentral's name for it is "bacterial SSU rRNA". It matches the Rfam family "Bacterial small subunit ribosomal RNA". The record is from RNAcentral. Lineage: Bacteria; Bacillati; Chloroflexota. RNAcentral also lists the same sequence under 1 other name.
GAGAGUUUGAUCCUGGCUCAGGACGAACGCUGGCGGCGUGCCUAACGCAUGCAAGUCGGACGGGCAGGGCCUUUGGGACCUGCGACCGUGGCGGACGGGUGCGGAACACGUACGUGACCUGCCCGGUAGUGGGGGAUAACCCCUCGAAAGGGGGGCUAAUACCGCAUGUGGUCGCUGGGCUGCGGUCCAGCGAGUAAAGCCUGGUGGACGCCGGGUGCUACCGGAGGGGCGUGCGGCGGAUUAGCUAGUUGGUGGGGUAACGGCCCACCAAGGCGACGAUCCGUAGCUGGUCUGAGAGGAUGGCCAGCCACACGGGGACUGAGACACGGCCCCGACUCCUACGGGAGGCAGCAGCGAGGAAUCUUGGGCAAUGGGCGCAAGCCUGACCCAGCGACGCCGCGUGGGGGAGGACGGCCUUCGGGUUGUAAACCCCUUUUCACCGGGACGAAGGGCUGACGGUACCGGUGGAAGAAGCCCCGGCUAACUACGUGCCAGCAGCCGCGGUAAGACGUAGGGGGCGAGCGUUGUCCGGAGUUACUGGGCGUAAAGCGCGCGCAGGCGGUGCGGUAAGGUCGCGGUGAAAGCCCCUGGCUCACCUGGGGGAGGUCCGCGGCGACUGCCGGACUGGAGGGGGGCAGAGGCCGGUGGAAUUCCCGGUGUAGUGGUGAAAUGCGUAGAGAUCGGGAGGAACACCCGUGGCGAAGGCGGCCGGCUGGGCCCUACCUGACGCUGAGGCGCGAAAGCGUGGGGAGCGAACCGGAUUAGAUACCCGGGUAGUCCACGCCGUAAACGAUGGCCACUAGGUGUGGGAGGUAUCGACCCCUUCCGUGCCGGAGCGAACGCGUUAAGUGGCCCGCCUGGGGAGUACGGCCGCAAGGCUAAAACUCAAAGGAAUUGACGGGGGCCCGCACAAGCAGCGGAGCGUGUGGUUUAAUUCGACGCAACGCGAAGAACCUUACCAGGGCUUGACAUGCCGCGUUCAGCCCGGGAAACCGGGUGGCCCGCGAGGGCGAGCGGCACAGGUGCUGCACGGCUGUCGUCAGCUCGUGCCGUGAGGUGUUGGGUUAAGUCCCGCAACGAGCGCAACCCCUGCCGGAAGUUACAGGUGUCUUCCGGGACUGCCGGUGGCAAGCCGGAGGAAGGCGGGGAUGACGUCAAGUCAGCGUGGCCCUGACGUCCUGGGCGACACACACGCUACAAUGGCCGGUACAGCGGGCGGCGACCGCGCGAGCGGAAGCGAAUCCCUGAAAGCCGGCCUCAGUUCAGAUUGCAGGCUGCAACUCGCCUGCAUGAAGGCGGAGUUGCUAGUAACCGCGGGUCAGCACACCGCGGUGAAUACGUUCCCGGGCCUUGUACACACCGCCCGUCACGUCAUGGGAGGUGGCAACGCCUGAAGCCGCCGGGCCAACCCCGAUGAGGGGAGGCAGGCGUCGAGGGCGGGGCUGCUGACUGGGACGAAGUCGUAACAAGGUAGCCGUAGCGGAAGCUGCGGCUGGAUCACCUCCUUUCUA